GAUGAACGCUGGCGGCGUGCCUAAUACAUGCAAGUCGAGCGAACAGAUGAGGAGCUUGCUCCUCUGACGUUAGCGGCGGACGGGUGAGUAACACGUGGAUAACCUACCUAUAAGACUGGGAUAACUACGGGAAACCGGAGCUAAUACCGGAUAAUAUAUUGAACCGCAUGGUUCAAUAGUGAAAGACGGUUUUGCUGUCACUUAUAGAUGGAUCCGCGCCGCAUUAGCUAGUUGGUAAGGUAACGGCUUACCAAGGCAACGAUGCGUAGCCGACCUGAGAGGGUGAUCGGCCUCACUGGAACUGAGACACGGUCCAGACUCCUACGGGAGGCAGCAGUAGGGAAUCUUCCGCAAUGGGCGAAAGCCUGACGGAGCAACGCCGCGUGAGUGAUGAAGGUCUUCGGAUCGUAAAACUCUGUUAUUAGGGAAGAACAAAUGUGUAAGUAACUAUGCACGUCUUGACGGUACCUAAUCAGAAAGCCACGGCUAACUACGUG
RNAcentral lists this ribosomal RNA (497 nucleotides) under uncultured bacterium. RNAcentral describes it as "partial 16S ribosomal RNA". It matches the Rfam family "Bacterial small subunit ribosomal RNA", at positions 28 to 507 of the family's 1533-position model. The record is from RNAcentral.